This 23550-nucleotide long non-coding RNA is filed under the name Hordeum vulgare. RNAcentral's name for it is "long non-coding RNA (HVUL_LNC004956)". Lineage: Eukaryota; Viridiplantae; Streptophyta; Magnoliopsida; Poales; Poaceae. The record is from RNAcentral.
AUCCAUCACCUAGCAUAGUGUCGGACCGUCGCACUCCCACUCCAUUACUGCACUCGGCGUGGGGAACAAUGGAGGCAGUCGUACUACCUGCCCAUGACGAAUCUCGCUGGACGACACUCGACGUACAACGCGUGCUCGGCGUCAACCUUACGCGAGAGCUUCAUUGGCCAGCCGGCGGGUCCCACUGCCAAUCGAGACCAUGCAGCCGGGGGGGGCCCUCAAGCGACAAGACAAGACUCUAGUGGCCCCCUGGCCAGCCGGCGAGGCUGCCAGCCGGGUCCCACACUUGUACCCUUUAUCCAUAUUGUAGGCCGGCGGGUUCGUCUAUAAAACCCCCCAGUCGCCCUCCAUGCACGGGGCCGAUCAUUCCACGGACGAACAACACUACACACUCACCAACCAUAUAGAGAGAGGCAGAGACGAGCUGGCUGCUCCCCUAUUCCUCCUCCCAACACAGCUCCAGGAGCAACUCUUUAAUUUGUUCAUACACAUCAAACACUCCGGCGGGACUAGGGGUCUUAUCUCUAUCGAGAGCCCUGAACGUGGGUACAUCGUGUGUUCCAUGCUUGUACCAACCUCGUUCCCAGCACCCUCCUUUGUCCCNAGAGAGGCAAAGAUGAGCCGGCUGCUCCCCUCUUCCUCCUCCCAACACAACUCCGGGAGCAACUCUGUACUUUGUUCAUACACAUCAAACACUCCGGUAGGACUAGGCGUCUUAUCUCUAUGGAGAGCCCUGAACCUAGGUACACCAUGCGUUCCAUGCUUGUACCAACCUCGUUCCCAGCGCCCUCCUUUGUCCAUUCGGUUCUCACCGACUUUAGCCUACCUAUGGCAUAUGUUGUGAGUAUUCACCGACACUCCUGCUGGUUGUCAUACUCAUCGACAUGCAAGUCGUGAAUCCUAUUACAAGAACGCGAUCAAUCUCAUACAUCACAUAUGUAACAUCACAUCCUUUUGGCCAUAUCACAUCACAUAGAUACUCUGCAAAAACAAGUUAGACGUCCUCUAAUUGUUGUUGCAAGUUUUACGUGGUUGGUUAGGGUUUCUAGCAAGAACAUUUCUCACCUACAUGACAGCCACAACGUUGAUAUGCCAAUGUUAUUUACCCUUCAUAAGGACCCUCUUCAUCGAAUCCGAUACGACUAAAGUGGGAGAGACAGACACCCUCUAGCCACCUUAUGCACCAAGUGCAUGUCACGCUGUGGAACGAGUCUCACGUAAGCGUACGUGUAAAGUCGGUCUCGGCCGCUUCAUCCCACGAUGCCGCCGAAUCAAGAUAAGACUAGUAACGGCAAGCAAAUUGACAAAUCAGCGCCCACAACUUUUGUGUUCUACUCGUGCAUAGAAUCUACGCACAUGGCCUUGGCUCGGAUGCCACUGUUGGGGAUCGUAGUAAUUUCAAAAUUUUCCUACGCCAUGCAAGGACCUAUCUAUGGACAAACCAGCAACGAGAGAGGUUGUAGAGCAUAUUCAUACCUUUGAAGAUUGCUAAGCGGAAGCGUUACUAUGAACGCAGUUGCUGGAGUCGUACUUGCAGUGAUUCAGAUCGCGGUGCAUUCCAAUCUAUGUGCUGAAUCACGGCACCUCCGCGUUCAACACACGUACAGCCCGGUGACGUCUCCUCCUUCUUGAUCCAGCAAGGAGAGAGGAGAAGUUGAGGGAGAGCUUCGGCAGCACAACGCGUGGUGGCGGUGGAGCUAUGUGGUUCUCCGGCAGGGCUUCGCCAAGCGCUGCGGAGGACGUGUAGGAGGAGGAGUAGGGCUGCACCGUGGAGAGAUGAAUUGUGUGUCUCCAAAAGGCCAAAACUCUCCACUAUAUAUAGGAGGAGGGAGAGGGAGGCUGCCUUGACCCCUCCUCCAAGGAGGAGGAGCUUCGGUUGAAGCUAGGGAGGAGUCCAGCUCCCACAAGGGAGGUGGACUACCUUGGUAUGACUCUUCCUCCUUUUCCUUUUAAGCCUUUUGCCUUAUCUCCUCUAUCCCUAUGCGCAUAGUCCUUUAGGGAAGGCCUUGGCCAGCCCAAUAAGGGCUGGCCCACCUCCUCUAACAGCCCAUGCACCUCUUUGGUCGUCACACCCUUCCCGGGGGUCCUCCGGCACCCUCCCGGCACCCCCGAUACACUACCGAUGAGCCCGAAACUUUUCCGACGACCAAAACAGGAUUUCCUAUAUAUCAAUCUUUACCUCCAGACCACUGAUGACGAGUUGAUGGAUAUACUUCUCGCCCCUCGUUGGUUACCCCAAGUGGAAGGUGGAGAUGUAGUCAACAACAGAUUUCCCUUACACGGGGUUGUAAGGUUUAUCGAACCAGGAGGACUACGAGGAUCUACAAGUAUGUGUCCGCUGCUCUGGCGCUAGCAGAAGAUGUGGAUAUGUACACACAACAAAUAACUUUUCUCCCUGCGAGUAGAGAGAGGUUGACAAUCUCUCCGGCCUUAUAGUUUGCAAAGGAUCAAAACACAAGCGGGAAUAAUGAUAGUGAUUGCAACGGAAAAUAAAAUGAAAGCAAUAAAUGGUGGAGGUAUAAACAAUGGUGGUAAUAUGGACCUGAGUCACAUGAUGUUCACUAGUGAUGUAUCUCUUGCAAAAGACGAUAAACAACUAUGCAUGGAUAAACAAAUUACAGUUGGGCCAUUGACAAAAUUAUAAACGCACCGCAAUGCUAAUUAUGUUACUUGAAAGUUAGAGGCUCAAUAGUAAUGGGCAGUACGCCAAGACAAGUAGACCGUUUAUUCAUCAGCAUCUACUUACUAAUCAUGCACCUUCAGAUAUCUAUCCAGAACAUCUCGCCCGUAUUAAGUUGCGAGCCCCAUCCAAAGUGUAAACUCAAAGCAAUGGACAACUGCAUUAACGAACUUUGCGUAAGGUAAACAAUCCUUGCAACAAUGGUCACAAGCAUCGUUGUUUUCUCCCUGGUGGCGACAGCACAUCCCCUAGUCUCAUGUUUCUAUCACUCAAGCUAGACAUCAGGGGGCAUGAACCCACACUCACGCAUAAUGCUCCCUCUUGGAGUUACAAUCUACUACUUGGCCAAAGCAAUAAAGAGCAACGGAAAACAUGCAUGAAUCACUAAAGAACAGAAUAUAAAACGAUAAUCAAAUAUACAAAUCAUCACAAUUUGAACAUAAUCUCAUAAUCCAUCGGAUCCCAGCAAACCAAGCAUAGCAAUAGCAUGAAAAAUACAUACAUGCCUUGAUCAUGUAGGGCAGCUCACAAGGGCUAAUCAUUCAAGCACAAGAUUGGAGAGAAGACAUCACAUAGCUACUGGUCAUGGACUCAUGGUCCAAGGAGGACUACUCACGUCACGUCCGGGAAGCGUCCAUGGCGGUGGAGAAGCUCCCGGAGGUCAAUCCUCCCUCCGGCAGGGUGCCGAGAAGAGGUCUUCUGACGCUCCCGAUCUUGGAAGCGCUGCGGCAACGAACGAUGGAGAAAUUCGUGAUUCUGGAUAUGAUGGAAGGGUUUCCGAUCGGAGGGGUAAAUAUAGGCCAAAGGAGGGCAUCAGAGGAGGUGGCCCCCACCCAGGCGACCUAUGGGCGCGACCAGGGGCCAGGCCGUGCAGGGAGGCCGCCUGGGCAGGCCCUGGCUCCCCUCUGGCCCACCUUUGGUGCUCCGGAAGCUUCGAUCACGCUGAUUUUUAUACAUUUUUCUCGGAAUUUUUGGGACUCUGUAAAUUGUGGUAAAAGUCCCUGCAAAAAAGACAUCAGCAGACAAAAACUGGCACUGGGUGCACUGAGUUAUUAGGUUAGUCUAAAUAUGUGUAAAAAGGUAUGAAAGUGUAGCAAAACAUAUAACAAUGUCACCCAAAAGAUCAUGGAACAAGCAGAAAUUAUAGAUACGUUUGGGACGUAUCAACCAUUCCAGAGCUCCUCAUGAUGUCCGGGAUCUCAUCCGGGACUCCGAACAACCUUCGCUAACCACAUACCAUUCUCUUUACAACUCUAGCAUCAUCGAACCUUAAGUGUGUAGACCCUACGGGUUCGGGAGACAUGCAGACAUGACCGAGACAUCUCUCCGGCCAAUAACCAAGAGCGGGGUCUGGAUAUCCAUGUUGGUUCCCACAUGUUGCACGAUGAUCUGAUCGGAUGAACCAUGAUGUCAAGGAUUCAAUCAAUCCCAUAUGCAAUUCCCUUUGUCUAUCGGUAUGAUACUUGCCCGAGAUUCGACCGUCGGUAUUACUAUACCUUGUUCAAUCUCGUUACUGGCAAGUCUCUUUACUCGUUCCGUAACACAUCAUCCCAUGCCUAACUCCUUAGUCACACUGCGCUCAAUAUGAUGAUGGAUUACCGAGUGGGCCCAGAGAUACCUCUUCGUCACGCGGAGUGACAAAUCCCGGUCUCGAUUCGUACAACCCAACAGACACUUUCGGAGAUACCUGUAGUGCACCUUUAUAAUCACCCAGUUACGUUGUGACGUUUGGUACACCCAAAGCACUCCUACGGUAUCGGGGAGUUGCACAAUCUCACGGUUUAAUAAAAUGAUACUAAACAUUAGAAAAGCUUUAGCAGAUGAACAACAGAUCUAGUGCUAUGCUUAGGAUUGGGUCUUGUCCAUCACAUCAUUCCCCAAUGAUGUGAUCCCGUUAUCAACGACAUCCAAUGUCCAUGAUCAUGAAACCAUGAUCAUCUAGUGAUCAAUGAGCUAGCCAACUAGUGGCUCACUAGGGACACAUUGUGAUCUAUAUAUUCAGACAUGUAUUACGGUUUCCGGUUAAUACAAUUAUAACAGACAAUUAUUAUGAACUGGAAAUAUAAUAAUAACAACUUUAUUAUUGCCUCUCAGGCAUGUUUCCAACAACUAAUUGAUNNNNNNNNNNNNNNNNNNNNNNNNNNNNNNNNNNNNNNNNNNNNNNNNNNNNNNNNNNNNNNNNNNNNNNNNNNNNNNNNNNNNNNNNNNNNNNNNNNNNCCCCGACGGCCACCCUCCGGCGACCGCUCCGGUGGCGGCCGCUGCCCGCUCCACUGGCCGCCCCCGGCCAUGCCUCGGCCGGCCACGACCGAACGCUGAGCCCCUCCGCUUUAGUUUGUGGGAGUAACUCCAUCCAUGGGCAAAUCCCCCCUUUCCCGUGUAGAUGACAAGUGAGGCCCGCCCCAUUAAAAGUUUUAAAAAAAUAAAGAUAUAAAUAAUGAUAUAAUUAAUAAGCUUAAUUAAUUACUUAAUUAGUUGAUCCAAUUAACCUAAGUUUAACUUGUCCGGUUAGUUAGAGUAAUUAAUUAAUUAUGAUUAAUUAAAACUAAUUGGUUUAAUUAAAUUUGUUAAUAAAAUUAGCUGAGUAUGACAUGUGGGACCCACUCUAUUUAUUAAAAUCUAAUUAAAUAAAAUUAAAAUAAUUAAAACCUGGGUCAAUGACACGUAGGACCCACUGGUGAGAUUUGACCAGUCAACGUGCCCGGUUGACUCCUGAUGUCAGCAUGACAUCAUGUUGAUGUCAUAAUUCUGAUUAUUGAAUUUAAAUAAUAUGUUUUAAUUUCUAGAUAUUAACAAAACUUUCAAAAUCUCUCCCUAAUAAUAAAGCAAAUCCGUUUCUAGUCGUCCGUCGUGAAAAUUAGCCCUAAAGUUUGCAUAAAUUACCCACCAUGCCACCGGUAAGUAAUAGAAAACGUUUCACAAAGCGAAUUUUUUUGGACUCGGCCGGCCCAUAUAAAAACAUCCUAUAUUACGCUCUGCACGCUGGGAAAAUUUUCAGCACACCGUAUGGGCCGGCACAUGCACACGCGCCUGCUUUUAGUUUCGUUUAUUUAUUUAUUUUAGUUCUGUUUUUUUUCAAUAAUUUAGAACUUCAAAUAAUCUUUAAAAUUUUAAUAAACUAAAAAUUAUAAAUCAACAUAUUUAAAAAAUUAAAAUGUUUGAGACUUCUAAAACUACUCGGAGUUUUGUAAAAAAUGCUCGCAUAUACAAUAAAAUGUUUGCAAUUUUAGAAAAUUGUUUACACAAUAAGAAUAGUCCAUGAUCUCAAAUACAAUUCCAUGUAUUAAAAAAUAUUAAAGGCAUUUAACAAAAUGCUUUCUAAUUCAAAAUAUGUUGAUGCAUUUAAAAAAUGUCCUAAAAUUUUAAAAAUAGCUAAUGCCUGUUUUGAUAAUUUCUUUUUUUAUUUAAUAUUUUCUGUUCCAUUUUUGUUUAUUUAUAAUUUAAAUAAUUUAGAAUUAAAAAACUUUUGCAUAUUAUAACGUAGGAAUUUUAAAUUAAAAUGCUGACGAAUUUUUAGUUUGAUUUAAAAAUAGGAUUCAAAAAAAGCGCCGGAUUUUUAUAUUUUUUUGCAAAUUCCAAAAAAAUGUCCAUGAAUUUAAUAAAUAUAUUACUGAUUUAUAAAAAUGUUUGUUUAUUCAGAAAAACUUCAUGCGUUUCAAAAAAUGUUUGUGAAUUUAAAAUAAAAUCCUCCAACAUCAAAAAUUAUGUUCGUCUUUUCUUGAAUUAGUCGCCAAUUCAAAAAAAUAUUUAAACCCGUUCAGAAUAUAAAAAUUAUUCACGAUUUUUAGUAAAUGUUUGUAAAUUGUAAUAAAUGUUCUCGAUUUUCAAAUUGUUACCAUAUUUAUAAAAUUGUUCACGAAAGAUCUAAUGUAUGUAGUUAAACAUUAAUGGUUCUAAGUCUUUGUGACAAUGUAUUUGUGUGAAUUUGAAAAAUUAACUAUUGGAUGGAUCGGAUUAUUAUUGUAUGUUUUCUAAAAAAAAUCUUGAAAUUCAGAUUAAAUCUUUGAGUUACCAAGAUUUUUGACAACCAUGGUAUAUAUAUUUUGAAAAUGUAAAGAUUGCUUCAACUUGUGAAUAAAUUUAAAAGAAGAGACAUUUUCUUGCAUUUGUGCACAAAAAUUCUAAAUCAAGCGAUGAUAUGUGAACAUAAUGUGGUCACCAUCAUUGGAGAUUAUAUUUUUUUUAUUCCGUGACAACGCAUGGGCCAUUUUGCUAGUUAAUAUAAAAUAAUCUAUAAUCCGGAUGAAAAUAUUUUAUACAUGAAAGUUGAUUAGAAAACGAGAUGAACCCGGUACGCUAUCCGUUCGUGUGUCACACGUCCCUAUCACAGCGAACGUGGAAGUUUUCCAUCCGUUUCGCGUGACCGGUAGUAGCCAUAGACCCGGAAAAUAUCAUCUGAUAUUUUCCCAAUCCGUCUAUGACGGGUGAUACUGCGUUAGCUCAUGCCUAGCGCUGCAUAUAACUAUGUCAUGCUUUGUGAGGCAUUUGAUUGCUAUGUUAUUUAUUAUGUUUUCCCCUAUGUUACUUCCUUUCCGGUAGACCCCGAGACCGAUGAUGAUCCGGUGAUCGACUACUUCUCGGUCGAGGAUCCGUUUUGUGUGCAGAGCAACGAGGCAAGCAAACCCCCUUGAUCAUUCCUAUAUCGCCUAUUCUUUGUCCCUCAUGCUUGCAUUAGAAUUUUGCUACUGUUGUAGUUAGCUCCUAUAUCUGAUGCAUAGCAUGUUUUUGAUAAACUGCUACAUUAUUCUACUGCACCUUAAAACUGUUUAGUAUAGGUGGAGCAAUCAUCCCGUGUGCCCCCUUAGUCCAGUUGCCCCGCUUUAUCGUCAAGUCUCGAUCAACUGAUCGACGAGCCAAGACCCGACACAGCACUCACACCCUCCUUAAUUGUACAAUGCAACAAAGCUACUGUUGAGUACCAAGGGUGACACCUCGUUACGUACUCUGAUGUUAGCUUUGUAGUGUAGUUGCGCGGCGAUGGUUCUCCGAGGGUGAUUCCUCCUUCACCAUCUUUGAUAACGACUCUGUCGUACAACCCAUCAAGCGUCGCCCAUCGAGGGUGAUUCCUCCUUGGCCACCUUGACGGUUACAUCGUUCGGAAUCCAUCGAGGGUGAUACCUCGGAUCCCCCUGAUGUUACAACCACACAGUUACUUGACCGUGUUACUGGAAACAUUGAUGAAUAAAUGUUAGGCCGGUGGAUUCCCGCGUGGAUGUGUCGAUGAGUUAAUUAAAAUUCUAAUGAUAUGGGUAUUUGAUCUGGGUUGGAGAGAGACCUUUUCGCACUAACCGGCUACGCGGGAGAAGUUAUGGUACUUGACGUCGUGGUAUCAGCCGAAACUCUUCAGACGUCAGCGAUGGAGCAGCGCGCGCCCGAGUGGUCUGGAUUAUCACCAUUCUUGUAUAAGAGGUGCCAAGGCUGACAUUGGCCGCCCACGCAACAUGCAGGAGCGCAAUGGGUGAUGGGCCCAUGAACCCUGCACGCUUAGGAUUUAGACCGGCGGGCUGGCCUCUCUGUUGAGUCUAGGCGGGGCUGCGACGUGUUGAUGUUCCGAGGCGGGGCAUGACACAGGAAAGUGUGUCCGACCAGAGUUUAUCAAGCGUGAUGUGAAACUUGGUGCACCUGUGCAAUGAUGAAAAUUAACUAUUCGGAUAGUCGUGUCCACGGUUACAUGACGACUUGGAGUUGUGCCCCGAUCUUAUACAACUACAACUGUUACUUAACUGGAAUGUUUGCUCCGGGAUUGCUUCCUCGCACGGAGUCGAGGGAGGAUCCCUGGGCGUGACCUUAAUUUAAUAUUGCUGCAACAAUAUGACUAUAAUUGUGUUCAUGCUCUACUCUCGUCUAUUGGUGCAAGACCGCUGAAGAUGCUAAUCUUCGAUAGGACUAGUAUUCUCUCUCUAUUCUUGCAUUGUUGCAGUCAGUCCACAUAUAACCCCUUCCUUUGAUACUGAUGCAUACUUAGCAUAGUUCUGAUGUCAGUCUUGCGAGUACCUUGGAUGAGUACUCACCGUUGCUUCGCUCCCCCUUUUCCCCUCGACCCGUUGCUGCGACCAGAUGAUGGAUCCCAGGAGAUGGUGUAUCUCGCCGACGACGAUUGCUACCCCGAUGGUGCCUACUACUACGUGGAGGCCGCUCACGACCAGGAGUAGUUUAGGAGGUUCCGAGGCAGGAUGCCUCACCUCGUUCGAUCGUUGUAUCUUUUGUGCUAGCCUUCUCUAAGGCAUUGUCAUGUUUCAUGUGUGUACUCAGAUAUUUGUUGCUUCCGCUGACUCAUGUGUUUAUUGAGCUUCUGUAUUCUAGCCCUCGAGGUCCCUGGCUUGUAAUAUGAAGCUUGUAUUGUUUUAAAUUGUGUCUAGAGUUGUGUUGUGAUAUCUUCUCGUGAGUCCUUGAGCUUGGUCCUAUGCAUUUGCAUGUAUGAUUAGCGUACGAUCAAACUGAGGGCGUCCCAGGGAGCCUCUGUUCCCAAGAGAUCCAAUCUGGGAGCCUUUUCCGAUAAUCUUCCGGAGAGGGAAUUGAUCACGGAGGGCAUCUACAUCAACUCCAUUGCCCCUCCGAUGAUGUGUGAGUAGUUAACCAAGACCUACGGGUCCAUAGCUAGUAGCUAGAUGGCUUCUUCUCCCUAUUUGAUCUUCAAUAUCAAGUUCUUCAUGAUCUUCAUGGAGAUCUAUCCGAUGUAAUACUCUUUUGCAGUGUGUUUGUCGAGAUCCGAUGAAUUGUGAGUUUAUGUUCAGAUUAUCUAUGAAUAUUAUUUGAGUCUCUUCUGAAUUCUUAUAUGCAUGAUUUCAUAUCUUUGCAAGUCUCUUCGAAUUAUUGGUUUGGUNNNNNNNNNNNNNNNNNNNNNNNNNNNNNNNNNNNNNNNNNNNNNNNNNNNNNNNNNNNNNNNNNNNNNNNNNNNNNNNNNNNNNNNNNNNNNNNNNNNNCAACCAAAUGACAAAAAAUUAAAAUAACAGAUUUAACCUAGCACACUAGCUAACCUAUUUCUUCUUCUCCUCCUCCUCCUCUUCUUUUUCUUUUCUUCUUCUUCUUCUUCUUCUUCUUCUUCUUCUUCUUUAUUUCUUCUCUGCUUCUUCUUCUCCUCUUUUUCUUCUACUUCUCCUCUUCUUCUACUUCUCCUCUUCUUCUAUUUUCCUCCUCUUCUCCUCUCCUUCUCCUUAUUCUUUUCUUCUCCUCCUCUUCUUCUUUUCCUUUUUCCUAUUCUUAUUUUCUUAUUAUCCUCUUUCUCUUCUUCUCCUGCUCUUGUUCUUCCUUUUCUUCUCUUCUUCUUCUUCUUAUUCUUAUUAUUAUUCCUCUUCCUCUUCUUCUUCUUCUUCUUCUUCUUCUUCUUCUUCUUCUUCUUCUUCUUUUCUUCUCCGCUUCUUCUUCUCCUCUUUUUCUUCUACUUCUCCUCUUCUUCUAUUUUUCCUGUUCUUCUCCUCUCCUCCUCUUCUUAUUCUCCUUCUUCCUCUUCUUUUCUUCUCCUCCUCUUCUUAUUUUCCUUUCCCCUACUCUUAUUUUCUUAUUUUUAUUCAUCUUUCUUCUUCUUCUAACCCUAACCUAAUNNNNNNNNNNNNNNNNNNNNNNNNNNNNNNNNNNNNNNNNNNNNNNNNNNNNNNNNNNNNNNNNNNNNNNNNNNNNNNNNNNNNNNNNNNNNNNNNNNNNCGGUAGAAGAGUUCUCCGGCAGCGUGACGGCGCUCCGGAGGUUGGUGAUGACCUUGUCUCAGCAGGGUCCGCCCGAGCUCCGCAGAAACGCGAUCUAGAGGAAAAACCGUGGAGGUAUGUGGUCGGGCUGCCGUGGAAAAGUCGUCUCAAAUCAGCCCCAAUACCUCUGUAUAUAUAGGUGGGAGGGAGGGGACCUUGCCUUGGGGCUCAAGGAGCCCCAAGGGGGUCGGCCGAGUCCAAGGGGGGAAGGCUCCCCCCCCCCAAACCGAGUUGGACUUGGUUUGGUGCGUGGGAGUCCUUCCCUUCCUUCCCACCUCCCUUUUUUUUCUUUCUCUUUGAUUUUCCUUUGUAUGGCGCAUAGGGCCCUUUUGGGCUGUCCCACCAGCCCACUAAGGGUUGGUGCGCCACCCUUAUGGCCUAUGGGCUUCCCCGGGGUGGGUUGCCCCCCCCCCCCCNNNNNNNNNNACCAAACCGAGUUGGACUUGGUUUGGUGGGUGGGAGUCCUUCCCUUCCUUCCCACCUCCCUUUUUUUUCUUUCUCUUNNNNNNNNNNAAACCUUCCGGUAAUCAAAUGAGGUCAUCCUAUAUAUCAAUCUUCGUUUCCGGACCAUUCCGGAAACCCUCGUGACGUCCGUGAUCUCAUCCGGGACUCCGAACAACAUUCGGUAACCAACCAUAUAACUCAAAUACGCAUAANNNNNNNNNNNNNNNNNNNNNNNNNNNNNNNNNNNNNNNNNNNNNNNNNNNNNNNNNNNNNNNNNNNNNNNNNNNNNNNNNNNNNNNNNNNNNNNNNNNNAGUGAGAUAAUGUGGGAGCCACCACGGGUAUCCAGACCCCGCUGAUGGUUAUUGGCCGGAGAGGUGUCUCGGUCAUGUUUGCAUGCCUCCCGAACCCGUAGGGUCUACACACUUAAGGUUCGAUGACGCUAGGGUUAUAGGAAAUCGUUGUACGAGGUUACCGAAGGUUGUUCGGAGUCCUGGAUGAGAUCCCGGACGUCAUGAGGAGCUCCAGAAUGGUCCGGAGGUAAAGAUUGAUAUAUAGGAUGGAUGGUUUUGGUCGGCGAAAAUGUGUCGGGCACCACCGGCAAUGUGUCGGGACCAUCGGAAGGGUUCCGGGGGCCACCGGGAGGGGCCACCAGCCCGAGGAGGCUACAUGGGCCAAGUGUGAGAGGGAACCAGCCCCUGGGUGGGCUGGUGCGUGCUACUGCAACAAAAGACCUUCCAACGGCCCCAGAAAUAGGAGUGUUGCUUACUCCUCAGCAACGACACCAGGAAUCCUUCUGCUACGGCUACGCCUUAAGGGACUUCCUAGGCAAAUAUGCAAAUGAUUUCCCGUGUGGCCUUGUAGCCUUGCGUUAGUGUUCCCUCGAAGCGGAAAGGGUGAUGUAGCGCAGCGGUGGUAAGUAUUUCCCUCAGUUUGAGAACCAAGGUAUCGAACCAGUGGAGGAGUAUCACAAGUGCUUGCACAAACACAAAGAGCUUGCUCCCAACGAUAUGAAGGGGUUGUCAAUCCCUUAUAGAUUGUUUGCCAAGUGAGAACUGAAAGGAACAAAGUAACAAAGCAAAGUAAAAGCGGAGGUUUAAACGAUGGAUGUGAAUAGACCCGGGGGCCGUAGUGUUUACUAGUGGCUUCUCUCAUGAAAGCAAGUAGACGGUGGGUGAACAAAUUACUAUCGAGCAAUUGAUAGAACCGCGCAAAGUCGUGAUGAUAUCUAUGGCAAUGAUUAUAUCUAUAGGCAUCACGUCCAAAACAAGUAGACCAAUAAUUUCUGCAUCUACUACUAUUACUCCACAUGUCGACCGCUAUCCAGCAUGCAUCUAGUGUAUUAAGUCGAAAUGAACAGAGUAACGCCUUAAGCAAGAUGACAUGAUGUAGAUGGACAAUCUCAUAUCUACGAUAAAAGCCCAUCUUGUUANNNNNNNNNNNNNNNNNNNNNNNNNNNNNNNNNNNNNNNNNNNNNNNNNNNNNNNNNNNNNNNNNNNNNNNNNNNNNNNNNNNNNNNNNNNNNNNNNNNNGAUGUGGAGGAGGACACCGCCUCCGCAGCCGAGCGGGCUGGCUGGGCAGCAGCUGAUGCUGCCCAGAGGGAGCUUGAGACGCAGUCCAAGCGCCGCUGGGACGUGGUCGCGGGAAGAUGGCCGUGGGCCAGUCUCGCCCCAGCCGGGUCGAGAAGCCGGUGGAGAGGCGUGCGAAGGCUAGACAUGACCCCUCCGCGCGUGCUCGCGCGGAGGAGCCUGCUAGCGAAGCAGCUUGAAGGCACGCCCUGAGGGCUGAGGGGGCCCAGCCCUCUGAGCCGUAUGCCUCGGCGCCGGUGGAUCUGGAGACGAUCCCUGACUCCCCCCAAGCCGAGGCGGCGCCCGAUGCGCCGGAGCUGAUCCUGAAUGCGCCGGACGCGGCCCCUGAUGCGCCGGAUGCGGCCCAUCUACCUCCGGUCGAGGAGGCAGCGUCGGCGGGACGACGGCCGAGCCGGCACCUGGAGCCGGCGCCAUCGUCGUUCCCCAACACGGCCCAAUUGCGCCAGGAGAUGGAGGCCAGGUCGGGAGCCGGCCCAUGAAGACAUGGCGGGCGGCCAACCUGGCACGCCUGCGACUGCCCAUCGGUACCGCGCNNNNNNNNNNNNNNNNNNNNNNNNNNNNNNNNNNNNNNNNNNNNNNNNNNNNNNNNNNNNNNNNNNNNNNNNNNNNNNNNNNNNNNNNNNNNNNNNNNNNGGAGGCUCGUCCAGCUACAUAAUGCUUUGCCUGAUCACCCUCUUAAGAAGAACGAGAUACUUGAUAUCCUCUAUAAUGGACUUACUGAUGCCUCUAGAGACCACCUAGAUAGUUGUGCCAGUUUGUUUUUAGGGAACGAACUGUAGAACAAGCUGAGACCCUACCGAAUAACCUCUUGAUCAACGAUAAUGCUUGGACUAUUCCCGAACCACCUCCUAAGCCAACUCCUAAGAAAAGAGGUAUUAUAUUCCUCAGUCCCGAAGAUAUGCAAGAAGCCAAGAAAUCUAUGCAAGAGAAAGGCAUUAGAUCUGAAGAUGUUAAAUAUCUACCACCUAUCGAAGAGAUCCACGGUCUCGAUAACCCGAUACAGGUAGUAGAACUCAAUUCUCUGCGUAGGUUUGAUGGGAGUGAUAUUACUUUUGAUAAACCUGCUAGCCUAUGCUUUGAUGAAUUUGAUAACUUUGUUGCCAAACAACAGAGUUUAAAUGAUUAUGUUAGCAGACAUUUGGAACAAAGCACUCAUAUGCUUAGCCAUUUAAGUGCUUGUGUAGACAGAAAUGUCAAUGAUCUGAAGCUUCUGAGUAAAUAAGCCUCUAUGAUUACUACUUGAUGUUUGAUGUGUAUCCCUUGCAAUGGCGCCAAAAAUAGUUGUGUCGACGGCACCAGGAAUCCUUCAGCUACGGCUACGCCUUAAGGGACUUCCUAGGCAAGUAUGCAAAGGAUUUCCCCCGUGGCCUUGGAGCCUUGUGUUCGUGUUCCCUCGAAGCGGAAAGGGUGAUGUAGCACAGCGACGGUAAGUAUUUCCCUCAGUUUGAGAACCAAGGUAUCAAUCUGGCGGAAGAGUAUCUCAAGAUCCUGCACAAACACAAAAGCUUGCACCCAACGCUAUGAAGCGGUUGUAAAUCCCUUAUAGAUUCUUUACCAAGUGAGAACUGAAAGCAACAAAGCAACAAAGCAAAGUAAAAGCGGAGAUGUAACCGAUGGAUGUGAAUAGACCCGGGGGCCGUAGUGUUUACUAGUGGCUUCUCUCAUGAAAGCAAGUAGACGGUGGGUGAACAAAUUACUAUCGAGCAAUUGAUAGAACCGUGCAGAGUCGUGACGAUAUCCAUGCAACGAUUAUUUCUAUAGGCAUCACGUCCGAAACAAGUAGACCAAUACUUUCUGCAUCUACUACUAUUACUCCACACAUCGACCGCUAUCCAGCAUGCAUCUAGUGUAUUAAGUCCAUAAGAACAGAGUAACGCCUUAAGCAAUAUGACAUGAUGUAGAGGGAUAAUCUCAAACCAAUGAUAAAAACCCCAUCUUUUUACCCUUGAUGGCAACUGCNNNNNNNNNNNNNNNNNNNNNNNNNNNNNNNNNNNNNNNNNNNNNNNNNNNNNNNNNNNNNNNNNNNNNNNNNNNNNNNNNNNNNNNNNNNNNNNNNNNNACAACCCAUGGAGUAUGACGUCAAGUUGUGAUCGUCAUCAAGAUUGCGACGUGCAAGUUCAAGUGGAUCAGCACGAAGAUAGCAUGCUUGAAGCUUGCCGUCCAUUAUGGUGGCAAUGGACUUGUGAAGAUAUGCUGAAGAGUGGCUCACCCAUAGUGAGUAUGGGGGAGCAAUCAACUAGUAUUCAUCAAGCCAACACAAUCAAGAAAGGUGGUCCAUCUUGAGGAAGCCAAGAUCAUCAUCAUCUAGCUCAAGAGGAUGAGGUGCAAGGUAUAGGUUUGCCCUUGAUAGGUUUUCUGGUUAGGAUAGAUUGUUUUUCUAUCAAGGGGGGCUCUCAAGUGAGUAGCUUGAUCGUAUCGUUCGUUGAGAGCUCAAACCAUUUGCAUCCUUGCAUCAUACUUCUUGGUUCUUAGUUGGUGUUUCUCUUUGUGAGUUUUAGAGCUUAUGGUCAUCUUCAUGACAAGCUCGAGUUCAUCGAAAACGGAGUCCAUAUGCAUCUACUAUGAUGUUUUCGAUGUUGGAGUUUUUGCCGGUUCUUCAUUCAUAGAGAUCUCACAUCUCUAUAUCUUUGGCAUAUUCAUAACCGCAUGGUCGCUGUUUGGAUAGCCCUAGUCGUCCUGAAUCCAACAAGCUUGGGUUUGCUCGAUUCGGAGCUCGUAUGCGAAAGUUAUGGCUGUUUCAGUGGCGAGCGGUAGUACCGCUGGACCUAGCGGUAGUACCGCUGGACCUAGCGGUAGUACCGCUCGACCUAGUGGUAGUACCGCUAGAGUUGGCGGUAGUACCGCUGGCCCUAGCGGUAGUACCGCUGGCUCGCGGUAGUACCGCCCCUGGUCAGCGGUAGUACCGCUCCAGGAGCUUAGUACCGCCUGCCUAGCGGUUGUUCGUGGACGGACCUUUUUGCGAAGACUUUCUUGGCGGUGGUAGUGCCGUUGCACUACCAGGGGCCCAGCGGUAGUACCGCUGGGGCCAGCGGUAGUACCGCUGGAGUGCCGGCGGUAGUACCGCUGCAGCCAGCGGUAGUACCGCUAGCUAGCGGUAGUACCGCUGGAGUACCAGCGGUAGUACCGCUGAAGCCAGCGGUAGUACCGCUAGAGCUCGGGCAGAAAGUGGGGGUAACGGUCUGAUUCCUUCCCCCACUAUAUAAAGGGGGUCUUCUUCCCCCUUGGUCUUGGCUAUCCGUUGAGCUCUUGUUCUAUCUCCAUUGUUGACAUUCUUAGAGCUUGAUUACUCUCUAUCCCUCCAAUGAUUCUUGCUUGUUCUUGAGGGAAAAGAGAGAGGAGAUCUAGAUCCACAUCUCCACCAAUCACUUUCUCCUCUAUGUGAGGGGAACCCCUUGGAUCUUGAUCUUGGAGUUCUUUGUGAGCUCCUUGUUCUUCCUCUCAUAUUUCUCCAUAGCUUUUGUUGUUGUGGAGGGAUUUGAGUGUGAGGGACUUGACCACUUCGUGUGUUCUUGCCAUUGCAUUAGUUGCAUCGGUUUGAGUUCUCCACGGUGAUACGUGGAAGUGAGAAGUUGAGAAGCUUACUACCUUUGGUACUUAGUACCCUUGAUAUUGUUCUUCGUGGAUGCUUUGGCGUCCUAGAAGCUUGGUAGUGUCUCGGAGCUCAAUCAGUGUGGUGUGAAGCUCCGGCAAGCGUCGGGGUCUCCAAUUAGGUUGUGGAGAUUGCCCCGAGCAAUUUGUACGGGUACCGGUAACCGCCCCCAAGGGUUGCCACGUGUACGGGUUCGGUGACCGCCCCCAAGGGUUGCCAUUUGUACGGGUUCGGUGACCGCCCUAAAGGGUCCCUUAGUGGAAUCACGGCAUCUUGCAUUGUGCGAGGGGCGUGAGGAGAUUACGGUGGCCUUAGUGGCAUCUUGGGGAGCAUUGUGCCUCCACACCGCUCUAACGGAGAUUAGCAUCCGCAAGGGUGUGAACUUCGGGAUACAUCAUCGUCUCCCCGUGCCUCGGUUAUCUCUUACCCGAACCCUUUACUUAUGCACUUUACUUUGUGAUAGACUUAUUCUUUAUUGUAAUAUAUCUUGCUAUCACUGAGUUGUUUAUCUUGCUUAGCAUAAGUUGUUGGUGCACAUAGGUGAGCCUAGUUGUUUGUAGGUUUUGUGCGUGACAUAUUAAACGAUUAGUUUUAUUCCGCAUUUGUUCAAGCCUAAACCUUAACUAUUUUAAAGCGCCUAUUCACCCCCCCCCUCUAGGCGACAUCCACGUCCUUUUCAAUAAUAAUUCAAGCAAACUAGCAAAGUAAUCAUGAACUUUCAAAAUAACAAGGCCAAAAGAAAGUUAUCCCUACAAAAGCAUAUAGUCUGGCUAUGCUCUAUCAUCAUUGCACAACGAAUUUAAAUCAUGCACAACCCCGGUAUUGGCCAAGUAAUUGUUUCACACCUUUACUUUCUCAAACAUUUUCAACUCUCACGCAAUACAUGAGCGUGAGCCAUGGUUAUAUCACUAUAGAUGGUGUGGAAUGUGGUGGGGGUUGCAAGACAAAAAGGAGAAGAUAGUCACAUUAACUAGGCAUAUCAAUGAGCUGUGGAGAUGCUCAUCAAUAGAUAUCAAUGUGAAUGAGUAGGGAUUGCCAUACAAAUGAUGCACUAGAGCUACAAGUAUGUGAAAGCUCUUAAAGAAAACUAGUGGGUGUGCAUCCAACUUGCUUGCUCACGAAGACCUAAGGCAAUUUUGAGGAAGCCUAUCAUUGGAAUAUACAAGCCAAGUUAUAUAAUGAGAAUUUCCCACUAGCUAUAUGGUGGUGGUAAAACGAGAGACUCUCAAUCAUGAAGAUCAUGGUGCUCAAAAUGCACAAGUGUGGAAAAAUUGGUAGCAUUGUCCCUUCUCUCUUUUUUUUGGUGUGCUCUUUGGCCUCUUUUUUUUAUGGGCUUCUUUGGCCUCUUUUAUUUCCUCACAUGGGACAAUGCUCCAAUAAUGAUGAUCAUCACACUUUCAACUCAAAACUUAGAGCAACUAUGCCUCUAUAUGGAAUGCCUUCGGUAGUGUACCGUGGCAAUGAUCUAGCAUGGCAUAGACAUCAAUGGAAACAUCAUGCUAGCUAUCUUAUGAUCGUGCAAAGGCAAUGUAGACGUGGUGGCACAUAUCAUGGUGGUAGUUGCAUGGCAAUAUAUCUCAGAAUGACUUUGAAAAAACCAUAGUAGGUAGGUAUGGUGGCUGUUUUGAGGGAGGCUAAUGGUGGGUUUUGUGCACCGGCGAGAGUUGCACGGCACUAAGAAGAUAGUGAUGGUGGAAGGUGAAAGUGCAUCUAAACCAUGGACUCAACAUUAGUCAUGAAGAACUCAUAUAAUUGUUGCAGAAGUUUUAUUAGUAAUCGAAACAAGGCAUUCAACGCAUACUCCUAGGGGAAGGGUUGGUAGGUAUAAACCAUCGCGUGAUCCCGACCGCCACGCAAAGGAUGACAAUCAAUAUACUAAUCAUGCUCAGAUUUCAUCACAUAGCGGUUCACCAUACGUGCAUGCUACGCGAAUCACUAACUUCAACACAAGUAUUUCUAGAUCCACAACACCUUACUAGCAUGACUUCAAUAUUACCAUAACCACAACUCAAAACUAAUUGAGAUGAAUCAAACUUCUCUAACUAUUCAAUGCACAUGAAGGUGGAAGUUUUCGUAUCCCUUUGGAUAAGGACCCCUUUUGAGACUACUUUCAAAGCAUAGAUCAACUACCAAGCCACGCACCGCUGUGCUCUAAAAGAUAUAAGUGAAGCACAUAGAGCAAAAGUAUCUAGCUCAAAAGAUAUAAGUGAAGCUCGACAAAAUCACGGUGAGUGCAUGUCUCUCUCUCUAGGUGUGCAGCAAGGAUGAUUGUGACACAAAAAAAAUAAUCCUACAAUACAAGACGCUCCAAGCAAAAACACAUAACAAGUGGUGAAUAAAAAUAUAGCCCCAAGUAACGUUACCGAUGGAUUGAAGACGAGAGAGGAGAUGCCUUCCCGGGGCAUCCCCAAGCUUAGGCUUUUAUGGCAUCCUUGAAUCCCUUGGGGUGCCUUGGGCAUCCCCAAGCUUGAGCUCUUGCCACUCUUUAUCUUUUUGUCCAUAAGAACUUCACCCAAAACUUGAAAACUUCACAACACGAAACUUAAACAGAAACUCGUGAUAACAUUAGUACAAGAAAGCAAACCACCACUUCCUUAUGUACUGUUGCAAACUUAAAUUCUACUUGUGCUGAUGUUGGGUUACUGUACUUUCAAUCUUCCAUGGCUAAUACCCCCCCGAUACUAUCCAUAGUUCCAUCAAAAUAAGCAACCAACACAACAAAAACAGAAUCUGUUAACUGCACACCAGUCUGUAGCAAUCUGUAUGUUUUGUAUACCUCUGGUACUUCUAAAAUUCUGAAAAAUUACGACAGUCUGAAGAAUUUGCGUAGCAAUCAGCAGCAAAAAGAAUCAACUCAAAAUCUCUUACAUAAAAAAAUGAAAAUUCUUUUCGUGACCAGAAAUUUUCUGUCUUUUCCAGCGUGACCAAACGAUCAUCCCCAAGACUAAUCAUAAUGGUUUUGCUUGGCACAAACGCAAAAAGAAACACAAAAAAACAUAAUCAUAACAGAAUUAUGAAAGUGUGAAAAACACAAAACAGAAAGAAAAUGGAUAGAUUCGUUGGGUUGCCUCCCAACAAGCGCCUUUGUUUAACGCCCUUAGCUAGGCGAAAGUGAUGGAAUCACGUAUAGUCAUCUUUGGUGCUCAAACCAUAAGCAGCGUGAUCAUUUAUCAUCUUAAGAUUUUCAUCUUUAUUAGAUGACUCACCACUAGCUCUAGGAACAAAAACAGGCUUGACGGUCUUUUUGAGAGUAAGAUUUGGAGUAUUUUGCACAGCGGAAAAAGCGGAACCCAAGUUGGUUAUGACAUCUUCUAAUUUGCCAAUUCUAGAAGAAUCAUUAACUAUAAGUUCCUUCUCCUUCAAAUUUUUCAAAAAGUUUCCCACUUUGGAUCCGUACUGAGUAAUUUGAUUGUGGAUCUUUCUAUCCAAACCCUCAAUAAGUUCAACUGUGGCAAUUUUGUUUUCAAUAGCGUCAAGCCUUUGCAUCACGUGUUCCAAGGUCAAGAUAGUUCCAUUAACCAUGAGCGGGGGUGAGCCUACCAAAUUAAUGAUAGCUCUAUAGGAGUCAAUAGUAUGGCUCCCCAAAAAGUUCCCGCCUACAAUGGUAUCAAGGAUAUACCUAUUCCAAGGAGAAAUUCCAACAUAGAAACUGCGAAGGAGGAUGGUAGUGGAUUGCUUACGAGUAGAUCUACUUUGAGCAUUGCAAAUCCUGUACCAAGCGUCCUUCAAAUUUUCUUCCUCAUUCUGCCUGAAAUUGAGAACUUCAUUUUCAGGGGUGUCGUUUGGAGUGGUGGGUCUAGCCAUUGAUGGCUAUCUCACGCACAAACGAGUGGGAAGAGAGAAUGAAACGGGCAAAAGGAAACGGCGAAGGAGAAAGGCAAAUGAAAACAACAAAUGUGAAGUGGGGGAGAGGAAAACGAGAGGCAACUCGCAACAAAAGUAAAUGCAAGAGAAGAGUUUGUGAGACCUACUUGGAUAGAUCUUGAUUUCUCCUCCCCGGCAACGACGCUAGAAAUACUUCUGAUGUUUGCUGUGUAUCCCUUGCAAUGGUGCCAGAAAUAGUUGUGUCGACGACACGAGGAAUCCUUCAGCUACGGCUAUGCCUUAAGGGACUUCCUAGGCAAGUAUGCAAAGGAUUUCCCCCGUGGCCUUGGAGCCUUGCGUUGGUGUUCCCUUGAAGCGGAAAGGGUGAUGUAGCAUAGCGAUGGUAAGUAUUUCCCUCAGUUUGAGAACCAAGGUAUCAAUCCGGCGGAANNNNNNNNNNUCACAAACAGAAAAGCUUGCACCCAACGCUAUGAAGGAGUUGUCAAUCCCUUAUAGAUUGUUUGCCAAGUGAGAACUGAAAGCAACAAAGUAACAAAGCAAAGUAAAAGCGGAGAUGUAAAUGAUGGAUGUGAAUAGACCCGGGGGCCGUAUUGUUUACUAGUGGCUUCUCUCAUGAAAGCAAGUAGACGGUGGGUGAACAAAUUACUAUCGAGCAAUUGAUAGAACCGUGCAGAGUCGUGACGAUAUCUAUGCAAUGAUUAUUUCUAUAGGCAUCACAUCCAGAACAAGUAGACCGAUACUUUCUGCAUCUACUACUAUUACUCCACACGUCGACCGCUAUCCAGCAUGCCUCUAGUGUAUUAAAUCCAUAAGAACAGAGUAACGCCUGAAGCAAGAUGACAUGAUGUAGAGGGAUAAUGUCAAACCAAUGAUAAAAACCCCAUCUUUUUACCCUUGAUGGCAACUGCNNNNNNNNNNNNNNNNNNNNNNNNNNNNNNNNNNNNNNNNNNNNNNNNNNNNNNNNNNNNNNNNNNNNNNNNNNNNNNNNNNNNNNNNNNNNNNNNNNNNAAAUUUACCACUAGCUAUAUGGUGGUGACAAAACGAGAGACUCUCAAUCAUGAAGAUCAUGGUGCUUAAUAUGCACAAGUGUGGAAGGAUAGUAGCAUUUUCCCUUCUCUCUUUUUCUCUCAUUUUUUUGGUGGGCUCUUUGGCCUCUUUUUUAUUUUAUUUUUUUAUUUUGGUGGACAUCUUUGGCCUCUUUUAUUUCCUCACACGGGACAAUGCUCCAUCAAUGAUGAUCAUCACAGUUACAACUCAAAACUUAGAGCAAUAAUGACUCUAUAUGGAAUGCCUUCGGUAGUGUACCGUGACAAUGACCUAGCAUGGCAUAGACAUCAAUGGAAACAUCAUGCUAGCUAUCUUACGGUCAUGCAAUGGCAAUGUAGGAGUGGUGGUACAUGUCAUGGUGGUAGCUGCAUGGCAAUAUAUCUCGGAAUGGCUUUGAAAAAGCCAUAGUAGGUAGGUAUGGUGGCUAUUUUGAGGGAGGCUAUUGGUGGGUUUUGUGCACCGGCGAAAGUUGCACGGUACUAAAGAAGAUAGUGAUGGUGGAAGGUGAAAGUGCAUCUAGACCAUGGACUCAACAUUAGUCAUGAAGAAGUCAUAUACUUGUUGCAAGAGUUUUAGUAGUAAUCGAAACAAAGCAUUCAACACAUACUCCUAGGGGAAGGGUUGGUAGGUAUAAACCAUCGUGCGAUCCCGACCGCCACACAAAGGAUGACAAUCAAUAGACUAAUCAAGUUCAGACUUCAUCACAUAGCGGUUCACCAUACGUGCAUGCUACGGGAAUCACUAACUUCAACACAAGUAUUUCUAGAUCCACAACACCUUAUUAAUAUAACUUCAAUAUUACCACAACCACAACUCAAAACUAAUUGAGAUGAAUCAAACUUCUGCACCUACUCAAUGCACAUGAAGGUGGAAGUUUUCAUAUCCCUUUGGAUAACUACCCCUUUUGAGACUACUAUCAUAGCAUAGAUCAACUACCAAGCCACGCGCUUCCGUGCUCUAAAAGAUAUAAGUGAAGCACAUAGAGCAAAAUCAACUAGCUCAAAAGAUAUAAGUGAAGCACAUGUGAGGUGAAUUGUAUAACCAAAGGAUAUAAGCGAAGCUCGACAAAAUCACGGUGAGUGCAUGUCUCUCUCUCUAGGUGUGCAGCAAGGAUGAUUGUGACACAACAAAAAUAAAAGACUCCCACGAUACAAGAUUCUCCAAGCAAAACACAUAUCAUGCGUUGAAUAAAAAUAUAGCCCCAAGUAACGUUACCGAUGGAUUGAAGACGAAAGAUGGGAUGCCUUCCCGGGGCAUCCCCAAGCUUAGGCUUUUACGACAUCCUUGAAUCAACUUGGGGUGACUUGGGCAUACCCAAGCUUGAGCUCUUGCCACUCUUUAUCUCUUUGUCCAUAAGAACUUCACCCAAAACUUGAAAACUUCACAACACAAAACUUAAACAGAAACUCAUGAUAACAUUAGUAUAAGAAAGCAAACCACCACUUCCUUAGGUACUGUAGCAAACUUAAAUUCUACUCAUGUUGAUGUUGGGUUACUGUAUUUUCAAUCUUCCAUGGCUAAUACCCCCCGAUACUAUCCAUAGUUUCAUCAAAAUAAGCAACCAACUCAACAAAAACAGAAUCUGUUAACAGCAGACCAGUCUGUAGCAAUCUGUAUACUUUGUAUACUUCUGGUACUUCAAAAAUUCUGAAACAUAUCGAAAGUCUGAAGAAUUUGCGUAGCAAUCAGCAGCAAAAAGAAUCAACUCAANNNNNNNNNNNNNNNNNNNNNNNNNNNNNNNNNNNNNNNNNNNNNNNNNNNNNNNNNNNNNNNNNNNNNNNNNNNNNNNNNNNNNNNNNNNNNNNNNNNNNNNAGAAUUAUGAAAGUGUGGAAAACACAAAACAGAAAUAAAAAGGAUAGAUUCAUUGGGUUGCCUCCCAACAAGCGCUAUUGUUUAACGCCCUUAGCUAGGCAAAAGGUGAUGAAAUCACGUAUAGUCGUCUUUGGUGCUCAAACCAUAAGUAGCAUGAUCAUUUAUCAUCUUAAGAUCUUAGUAUUUAUUGGAUGACUCACCACUAGCUUUAGGAACAAAAACAGAUUUGACNNNNNNNNNNNNNNNNNNNNNNNNNNNNNNNNNNNNNNNNNNNNNNNNNNNNNNNNNNNNNNNNNNNNNNNNNNNNNNNNNNNNNNNNNNNNNNNNNNNNGGGGGGGGGGGGGGUGCACCGCGGGGAGUGGCUGCGAGCACCGGGAAAGGGGGCUGAGAGGCGCGAGGAAGCUCGUCGAAGUGGGAUGGGGAAAUGGGAAGAGGAGGGGAGGAGCCCCUGAUGGCUCACCAAUGUUGUAGUCGAGGAGUGGCUCGGGGGAGAUCCGGCGGGGCAUGGGAGGAGGUGACCGACGGUGGAGGCGUCUAGAGGGCGCCGGCGUUGUAGUGGCCGGCAGCACCGGUCGGCACUGGUUUGAGGUAGUGGAUGCGGGGCCGGGGCGCUGUAGGCAUGGGGAGGCGGAGGAGGGCGACGAGCAACAGCUGGGCGAGCCGUGGUUCACGGGACGCGGUGGCGCGGAGGAGGGUGGCCGGCGGGGGCCGACGUCGAGGUGGCCGGUGGCGGUGCGUAGGGGCCACAUGGCGCCGGUGGGGAAGGAAGGGCUAGCGACGGUCGGUGGCCGUUGUGGGGCGCCGGAUGGCUCGAUGGGGGGCCGAGCCGCCGCCAGUGUGAGGGAAAACGGGGGAAGUGGGUGGAAGCGUGGGGGUGAGUGGGCACG